RNAcentral lists this ribosomal RNA (433 nucleotides) under uncultured bacterium. RNAcentral describes it as "partial 16S ribosomal RNA". It matches the Rfam family "Bacterial small subunit ribosomal RNA", at positions 29 to 507 of the family's 1533-position model. The record is from RNAcentral.
AACGAACGCUGGCGGCAGGCCUAACACAUGCAAGUCGAGCGAGGACUUCGGUUCUAGCGGCGGACGGGUGAGUAACGCGUGGGAAUGUGCCCUUCUCUACGGAAUAGCCCUGGGAAACUGGGAGUAAUACCGUAUACGCCCUAUUGGGGAAAGACUUAUCGGAGAAGGAUCAGCCCGCGUUGGAUUAGGUAGUUGGUGGGGUAAUGGCCUACCAAGCCGACGAUCCAUAGCUGGUCUGAGAGGAUGAUCAGCCACACUGGGACUGAGACACGGCCCAGACUCCUACGGGAGGCAGCAGUGGGGGAUCUUGGACAAUGGGGGCAACCCUGAUCUAGCCAUGCCGCGUGAGUGAUGAAGGCCUUAGAGUUGUAAAGCUCUUUCAGCUGGGAAGAUAAUGACGGUACCAGAAGAAGAAGCCCCGGCUAACUCCGUG